RNAcentral lists this transfer RNA (57 nucleotides) under Urocitellus parryii (Arctic ground squirrel). RNAcentral's name for it is "Spermophilus parryii (Arctic ground squirrel) tRNA". It matches the Rfam family "tRNA", at positions 8 to 63 of the family's 71-position model. From Rfam's summary of the family: Transfer RNA (tRNA) molecules are approximately 80 nucleotides in length. Their secondary structure includes four short double-helical elements and three loops (D, anti-codon, and T loops). Lineage: Eukaryota; Metazoa; Chordata; Mammalia; Rodentia; Sciuridae. The record is from Rfam by way of RNAcentral. RNAcentral also lists the same sequence under 1 other name.
UAGCUCAGUGGUAGAGCACUUGCCUAGCAUGUGAGAGGCCCUGGGUUCCAUUCCCAG